This 253-nucleotide ribosomal RNA is filed under the name uncultured bacterium. RNAcentral's name for it is "partial 16S ribosomal RNA". It matches the Rfam family "Bacterial small subunit ribosomal RNA", at positions 524 to 776 of the family's 1533-position model. The record is from RNAcentral.
UACGUAGGGGGCAAGCGUUAUCCGGAAUUAUUAGGCGUAAAGCGCACGUAGGCGGUUUUGUAAGUCUGAUGUGAAAGCCCAGGGCUCAACCACCGAAAAGCAUUGGAAACUGGAAAACUUGAGUGCAGGAGAGGAAAGUGGAAUUCCUAGUGUAGUGGUGAAAUGCGUAGAUAUUAGGAGGAACACCAGUGGCGAAGGCGACUGACUGGACUGUAACUGACGCUGAGGUGCGAAAGCGUGGGGAGCAAACAGG